RNAcentral lists this transfer RNA (70 nucleotides) under Ciona intestinalis (vase tunicate). Its description in RNAcentral is "tRNA-Lys". Lineage: Eukaryota; Metazoa; Chordata; Ascidiacea; Phlebobranchia; Cionidae. The record is from RNAcentral.
UUAAAAAGAAGCUUUAAAGAAGCAUGGAAUUUUUAAUUCUAGGAAGUGUAAUUAUAAACACCUUUUUAAU